RNAcentral lists this small nucleolar RNA (154 nucleotides) under Macaca fascicularis (crab-eating macaque). RNAcentral describes it as "Small nucleolar RNA SNORA48 (ENSMFAG00000049589.1)". It matches the Rfam family "Small nucleolar RNA SNORA48". From Rfam's summary of the family: The snoRNA ACA 48 has been identified to guide pseudouridylation of the residue U3797 in the 28S rRNA subunit. Its host gene EIF4A1 (eukaryotic translation initiation factor 4A1) is shared with U67 and snoRNA mgU6-77 Lineage: Eukaryota; Metazoa; Chordata; Mammalia; Primates; Cercopithecidae. The record is from Rfam by way of RNAcentral.
UGUCCCUGACCUGAGUAGAGUGGCAUCUGGUUGGUGGUGCCCAUCUCAUAUCACCAGGGACAAAGUAACCCCUUGUUCAUCCCAGCUUGGCUAAAAAAAAAAAAGGAAUAAUCAUUUUAAGGGAUAACAGCAUGGCAGAAAAAGGGGCAAAUAA